UACGGAGGGUGCAAGCGUUAUCCGGAUUCACUGGGUUUAAAGGGUGCGUAGGUGGGUCUGUAAGUCCGUGGUGAAAUCUCUAGGCUUAACCUGGAAACUGCCAUGGAUACUAGAGGUCUUGAAUACUGUGGAGGUCAGCGGAAUAUGUCAUGUAGCGGUGAAAUGCUUAGAUAUGACAUAGAACACCAAUUGCGAAGGCAGCUGGCUACACAAAUAUUGACACUGAGGCACGAAAGCGUGGGGAUCAAACAGG
This 253-nucleotide ribosomal RNA is filed under the name uncultured bacterium. RNAcentral describes it as "partial 16S ribosomal RNA". It matches the Rfam family "Bacterial small subunit ribosomal RNA", at positions 524 to 776 of the family's 1533-position model. The record is from RNAcentral.